UUCCUCCCGAGGUCGGGCAGGUGCGGGAUGCAGUGCACUGUUGUCGUGUUCCCCCUCCAAUAUUGCACUUGUCCCGGCCUCCCCGGCCCCCGGGGCUAAGAA
Molecule: non-coding RNA, 102 nt
Organism: Oryzias latipes (Japanese medaka)
Lineage: Eukaryota; Metazoa; Chordata; Actinopteri; Beloniformes; Adrianichthyidae
Source: RefSeq, marked provisional